This is a long non-coding RNA of Zingiber officinale, 272 nucleotides long. RefSeq lists it as uncharacterized. Lineage: Eukaryota; Viridiplantae; Streptophyta; Magnoliopsida; Zingiberales; Zingiberaceae. The transcript has 2 exons. The record is from RefSeq and is a predicted model, not a curated record.
CGGACGGCCGGCACGGCAACCGCUGCCGCCUUCCCUAACUCUUCCGGUCGGAUCGGGGCGGAAAAAGGGAGCGAAUGUCGCAGGAUGCUUCGUACUUGUGUUCGAGAAGAUGAAUCUGAGCCUCUUUCCGCCCACAACCUGGGGGUUCGGCGGAGCAGCUCGGAUGGCCGGCAUGUCAACCGCUGCGGCCGUCCCUAACCCUUUCGGUCGGACGGGGUGGAUAUAGGGAGGGAUGAUCGAAUGCUGCUUGCCUGCUUCGUGUCUGUGUUCGA